UUCUUGUUUUUUCUCUGAGAAGCAACAGAUAUUCCGGAAUUUAUUUUGCCAUCGUAAUUCUUUUCAGUCAUUGUUUGUAAGAUGAAACAUCCGGUAAUUUAAUACGAGAAAAAAUCCAUCAUCAAACUUGAAGACGAAGGUCGAAAGAGAUUGUUCGAUGAAUUUAGGGGAUUUAAGAAUACAAUAAUUUAUUAGUGGACAGUCUGACCCUCAGGAUGCUACCCAAGAACAGUCCAGCCAAGCACAUCGUGACACGCCUGUCCCCCCACCUCCCCUCUUUCACCGACAUCUUCGACGAGGAGAGCUUCUACAUCACCUUCCUGCUACUGGCCGUCGGGAGCGUGAUGGCGGUUUACUUCCUGUCGCGGAGAGUAACUCUCAAGGACGCAGGUCACAUUGACUAACGAAGCGGAAUGUUUGUAGUGAGGGUCAAACUAACUGAACUGUUGCUGCAUUUUAUGAUGAGAAAACAGGACUCUGAUAUUGUAGAGGGAGAAAAGAACACAUGGAGAUUUUCACUUUAUGCUUGAAAUUUUUGUUUAGUUUACUCAGAACUAAAAUGAAACAAGCUAAACAUUUAAUGUGCAAUAUUGUGUGUCUGAGGGAAACUGUGGUUUUGUUUACAGUCUACUUGUCCAGGGUUGUUUCAAUUUGUUUUUGUACAUCUCUUGUGUUUCUGUUUUAUUUUGGCUUUUGUAUUUUUUAUAUGUAAUCUUACUACAGCAUAAUUUACUUUUACCAAAUACGUCAUUAUUCCCGUUUACAAAGAAGGUUGUAGCGUUACACAUUUUUCUUAUCAAAAUAAAACAUUCAAAAUAUUA
Molecule: long non-coding RNA, 821 nt
Organism: Magallana angulata
Lineage: Eukaryota; Metazoa; Mollusca; Bivalvia; Ostreida; Ostreidae
Exons: 2
Source: RefSeq, a predicted model, not a curated record